UGGAGGGGCACUUUGCUAGCUGUGAGGAGGAAGGAUCAGGCUGUUGUGUAAGGGACAGGAAGGAGUUAGCUGGCCCUGCAGAAGGAAAAGGAAUGGAGAGGAGUCAAUGCUGUGUGAAGCUGUCAGAGAAUAUGCACAGACAAGGUUUCUCAGCUGCAGCCAGUUAUCUAGGUACUCAGUGGUAAAACUGGAGGAAAAGGACUUCACCAAGAAUAUUUUCAGGCCUUAUAAGAUGGCUACCUGAAUUUGUGGUGAAAAUCAGUCCACUGGCUGUAUAGUCUGAAAGGAGGAUAGACAAAGCAGAUGUAUGGAUCAGGACAGACUCUAUACAGGAAAUUCCUCACCAGGCUGUGUCUUCUGUAUCUGUGAAUGCACUCUUAAUGUGGACACCAGUGGAAUAACAAAGAAGAAGACGUAAAUACUGUGUGAAUUUAUAUG
Long non-coding RNA from Ficedula albicollis (Collared flycatcher), 438 nucleotides. RefSeq lists it as uncharacterized. The record is from RefSeq and is a predicted model, not a curated record. Lineage: Eukaryota; Metazoa; Chordata; Aves; Passeriformes; Muscicapidae. The transcript is spliced from 3 exons.